Molecule: long non-coding RNA, 1775 nt
Filed under: Solanum tuberosum (potato)
Lineage: Eukaryota; Viridiplantae; Streptophyta; Magnoliopsida; Solanales; Solanaceae
Description: long non-coding RNA (STUB_LNC006025)
Rfam family: mir-172 microRNA precursor family (bases 1130-1242)
Source: RNAcentral
CUGUAUUCUUCUUCUUCAAUUUUUUUCUUUUUCAUUUUCUUCCCUCCUUUAGUUUGUCAAAAAUCCAAAUAAUUUUUCAUAUAAUUCUUUUUUCUUUUCUGAAUUUCUUCCUACUUAUAUGAAUAAUAUAAUAUGCAUCUAGGAUUUUGUUUUAUAUAGUAUGGAGUAAAAUGAGUUUAAUUUUACGCUUGAACAAUAUGAACAGUGAAGAUUGAUAUAGUUUAGUCGUGAUUCAUAUAUUGUUACAGUUGAUGUUAAUUGUUUUAUGUUUUUGAUUAUCUUCUCCCGUUGAGUACUUGUCGAUUCAUUAAAUGACCGAUUCAUGUUCUUGUGUUUAAGUUUUUUUAGAUAUUAUAAGUUAGAUUUCUGUUUAUUAUAAACAUCGAUUUUUAUCUAAGGUUCUUCAAACACCUGAAUAAUACUUGGAUUUUUAUUCUCAUAUAUUUCAAAUUUAUAGCAAAUUGAUUUUUUCUUAGCUCUUAGUACUAGAUUUGUUUUAUUGGAUUAAUUAUUUCUCUCUUCAAUUAUAUUUCAAUAUUAAUUCCACCUAAUUAUUCACAUCAUUUAAAGGAUAUGUCCCCAAAUGUGUAGAUUUCUCAUUUAGAGAAUACAAACAUUUUUUUGUCCUUUUUGUCUGCUUGAUUUUUUUUAGUUUGAUUUUUAUUUUGAUGUUAGGUAUACGUAUCGAUUUUUUAAGUUUAUUACUUUAUUUUUCUUACCUCAUUUUUUAUUUAUUUUCUUUGAGCUAUAUUAAUUAUGAAAAAUUCUAGGUCUAAAUAUGAUAGAGGUAGAAUUUCCCACAUAGAAUAUCAUCCAAUUUCAGGGACCAGAGCUACGUGUUUUGAAUGAGUUCAAUUGAAUCCUCUUCGUUUUAUUGUAGCGAAUUUGAUUUGUUUGAAUAUCAAGUGUAACGUUUUUGCAUUCUUUUCAUGAUUUCUUUGUUAUAAUUUCUUACUCAACUUCUGAGAAGGAAUUUUGUCCCAAUCUUAUGGAGGAUGAUGGAUUAAACGUAUGUAUGAUUGAUGACAUACUUUAACACGUACAAAUUCAAAAUUUAAAGUCAGUGAAUUUUCUGACUAUGUUAUCGAAUUUAAUUUUGAUAUUGUAGCUUUGCCUCAACAUACAGUUGUUGCUUGCUAGUGCAGCACCAUCAAGAUUCACAUAGAAAAUAUGGACUAUGAAAUGAAAUAUGCCCAAUUUUUGAAUACAUGAGAAUCUUGAUGAUGCUGCAUUGGCAAAUUGAUGACUUGAUUCUUUAAUUCUACAAGAAAAUUUGGGCAAUUUAUCUUUAUUUGGUAAGUUUUCUUUUGGACUAUGAUUAAUUCUAUAUGAUUAUUGAUUAUUAAUUACUUAUUUUGGUUAAUAUGUUGUAGUUUUCUUGAUAUAAAAUACCUCAUGAAUUAAUUAUUAAGUUCUUAAAUUAUGUUUCUUCACCUUGCGAUUUCUUCUAAAAAUUUGUGUGAUAUUUAAAGAUGCAUAACUAAUUUUCUUGAUAAUCCUAACAAUGCAAUUUCAAAUAAAUAUAGGUCUUUGAAGCAGAAGGUGGAGAAUUCGUGGCUAAAAUAUAGCUAUAGAGAGCAGCACAUAGUAGAAUAGUUGCUUGCAAAAGGAAGGAGUUAGGAAGAAGUUUUUUAUGUAUAUUUUCUUGUUAAUAUGUAUUUUUUUUUUUGUGAAAUCAAUUAUAAUACAUAAAUUAAGAAUUACUUUUGUUAAAACAAUUUAAUCUAGAUUAAUAUGCUGAAGCACUUUAAAUUGAUCCCUCCAUUAAUUAUUGA